Molecule: long non-coding RNA, 560 nt
Filed under: Bos taurus (domestic cattle)
Lineage: Eukaryota; Metazoa; Chordata; Mammalia; Artiodactyla; Bovidae
Description: long non-coding RNA NONBTAT013577
Source: RNAcentral
GACACUGAAGAUCAAAAUCACUUGAUGACAAAAUAAUUCUUCUGGAACUAUAACAUAUGUGUAUGGAUUUUAAUAGUAAAUUAAAUCUUUGCACUUAUUUGGCACAAGGAAACCUUUAUAAAAAUUCAAAUGCCAUAGAGCAGGCUUCUUCUUCUUUUUUUUUUUGCAAGGCUUACACAGUACACAUUUUUGUCAAGGAAAACUGAAUAUUUUAACACUGUAACACAACAGUAGUUGCUUUUCAUGCCUCUUAAAGAAAACGCUCUAUUUGGAACUCAGAUCUUUUUUGUUGUGUUUUAAAAUUGUGUAUUUGUUUGCUUUUAACCACGCCAACAGAACAAAAAGCCAAAGAUUUACUUUAUUUCAAAGGACUCAUUUCUGUUGGAUAACACAUAUACAGCAUCAGCAAGGAAUAUUACUGGAGGAUAGGUAGACCCCCAUCAGGAAUGGAUCAUAACACACAUUUCAGCAGCAAGUCAGGUCUGGAAAUGUGCACAGCAGCAAAAGAACAGAGAAGUUGAAAACAACACAGAAUGAGGCUUUGUCAGGCGUUCAAAUUA